This 73-nucleotide transfer RNA is filed under the name Marmota monax (woodchuck). RNAcentral describes it as "tRNA.Gly". The record is from RNAcentral. Lineage: Eukaryota; Metazoa; Chordata; Mammalia; Rodentia; Sciuridae.
GGAUGUGGCUCAAGUGGUAGCAGGCUCGCCUGCCAUGCGUGCGGCCUGGGUUCGAUCCUCAGCACCACAUACA